This 956-nucleotide non-coding RNA is filed under the name Morone americana (white perch). RNAcentral's name for it is "12S ribosomal RNA". It matches the Rfam family "Bacterial small subunit ribosomal RNA". Lineage: Eukaryota; Metazoa; Chordata; Actinopteri; Moronidae. The record is from RNAcentral.
CAAAGGCUUGGUCCUGACUUUUCUAUCAAUUUUAACUAGACUUACACAUGCAAGUAUCCGCACCCCAGUGAAGAUGCCCAUAGUUCCCCGCCCGGGAACGAGGAGCUGGUAUCAGGCACACUCUCGGUAGCCCAUAACACCUUGCUUUAGCCACACCCCCACGGGGAAUUCCAGCAGUGAUAAACAUUAAGCCAUAAGUGAAAGCUUGACUUAAUUAAAGUUAAAUAGGGCCGGUAAAUCUCGUGCCAGCCACCGCGGUUAAACGGGAGGCUCAAGUUGAUAGACAUCGGCGUAAAGCGUGGUUAGGGGCCCAACUUUAACACUAAAGCCGAACGCUCUUAGAACAGUUAUACGCACUGAGAGUAAGAAGAUCAAUUACGAAAGUAGCUUUAUUCAAACCUGACUCCACGAAAGCUAAGGCACAAACUGGGAUUAGAUACCCCACUAUGCUUAGCCCUAAACAUAGACAGUUGUUUACCCCCACUGUCCGCCCGGGUACUACGAGCAUUAGUUUGAAACCCAAAGGACUUGGCGGUGCUUUAGACCCACCUAGAGGAGCCUGUCCUAGAACCGAUAAUCCCCGUUCAACCUCACCCUUCCUAGCCCUUAUCAGCCUAUAUACCGCCGUCGCCAGCUUACCCUAUGAAGGCACUAAAGUAAGCAUAAUUGGCAUUGCCCAAAACGUCAGGUCGAGGUGUAGCCUAUGGAAGGGGAAGAGAUGGGCUACAUUCCCUACCUCAGGGAACACGAACGGCACACUGAAAUGUGUGCACUGAAGGAGGAUUUAGUAGUAAGCAGAAAGUAGAGUGUCCUGCUGAACUCGGCCCUGAAGCGCGUACACACCGCCCGUCACUCUCCCCAAGUUCUACCUAUUAAACAUAACUAAUACGCUAAAAUUUGCAAAGGGGAGGUAAGUCGUAACAUGGUAAGCGUACCGGAAGGUGUGCUUGGAUAAU